CUCUGAGACAGAAGGAGCCCAGCUGCAGAGAAUCUAGGCCACUGUGACUUGGUCUUCCCCUCUCUGGGAUAUCACAAAGGCCAUAUGAGCCAUUGUGACAAGGCACCAUCAAUCAUCAUGUCCCUUUACCAGGAGGGCCCGUGUCAUAAGCCACUAUAUAAAGGGAAUGAUGGGUGGACUGCUUUGGACAAAUGGACCUGCGGUAGGAGAGAGGGACAACAGUAGGAGCAGGCAGAUCUUGCUGUUUCAACCAAAACCUCAUGCUGACCAGAGUUGAGGAACAGAAGAAGAUGGUGAAGGCCUGCAGGUAUAGGUGUUCAGCAUGUCAUCUGAAAUAUUCCCCACAGAGGCAAAAAGAAAGGAAAUUAUCUCUGAAAAGGAAUGGGAGGACAAGUCAGCAGAAUAUGUCAAUGUUUUGGUUGAAGAAGCUGCUUGAAUCUGGGCUUUUCUGUGCCAUGUGUUCUCCCAGGGCCAGCACAAAGAAGGGCUUUUGGUGCAGGCCCAAGACCACCAUAAUCAUCAUUGAUUAUUCCUCUCCACGCCAGUGUCUCUAAAUAAACUUUCUCUUCUUUCUCUGACAAA
This 582-nucleotide long non-coding RNA is filed under the name Homo sapiens (human). RNAcentral describes it as "HSALNT0308925". The record is from RNAcentral. Lineage: Eukaryota; Metazoa; Chordata; Mammalia; Primates; Hominidae.